UGUGAGUGAGGGAUACCGGCGAGAAAUCGCCGACAAGCCCGCAUACGCUCUGUUUCUGGACAAGAAAGAGAGGAAAGCUCUCGCGAGAGGGCGCUCGGAGAUGGGCCUGUGGCCGAUUAGCUAGCUGGUGGGGUAAGAGCCUACCAGGGCCACGAUCGGUAGCUGGUCUGAGAGGACGAGCAGCCACACUGGGAUUGAGAACGGCCCAG
Molecule: ribosomal RNA, 209 nt
Filed under: uncultured bacterium
Lineage: Bacteria
Description: partial 16S ribosomal RNA
Rfam family: Bacterial small subunit ribosomal RNA
Source: RNAcentral